AUUUGAAGAGAGAAUAAAUCAAUGUUCUUUAGUGUAAGCACACAUCAUAAAUAUAUGUUUAGUGUUUCAUAUUCACUCAAGCAUAAAAAAAAAUAAAUCCGCAGUACAAAAAUAGAUCGGAUGAGAUGUUCUGAAAUAUGAGGUAAAUACGACAUUUAAUUCAAUCCUUCAAUCAAACAAAUUUGAUUUUAUGUUUACACAAUUAAUCAAUCAUUUCAAUUCAAGCAAAAUGUGAGUUGACAAAGACUUAGCAACGAACAGUCUGGGAUAUACAAGUGAAGAAGAAAAAACAAAACUUCUAAAGUAAGAAUGAAGGCGAUUUAGUAUUUUCAAUGUUCACUUUGGUGUUUUACUUUUCAUGCUCACAAAUAUUGCAUUUUCUGAACUUGUAGCACAUCUCAUGAUAACACAAUAGUCUCAGUAUCAAAUAACGUCUUGAGUAAUUAGGUUACAUUCAACACCGUAUGAACAAGAAUCAAAAUUAUUUUUUAAAAUUUUAGCAAAACGAGGAAAGAAAGAUAAUCCUGCAAACAAAAUUUGCCAAAGAAGAAUUGGUUAUAAAAUUAUUGC
This is a non-coding RNA of Biomphalaria pfeifferi, 570 nucleotides long. The record is from the annotation of a GenBank genome assembly. NCBI's taxonomy places the organism in Eukaryota, Metazoa, Mollusca, Gastropoda, Planorbidae.